GAUGAACGCUGGCGGCGUGCCUAAUACAUGCAAGUCGAGCGAACAGACGAGGAGCUUGCUCCUCUGACGUUAGCGGCGGACGGGUGAGUAACACGUGGAUAACCUACCUAUAAGACUGGGAUAACUUCGGGAAACCGGAGCUAAUACCGGAUAAUAUAUUGAACCGCAUGGUUCAAUAGUGAAAGCCGGUUUUGCUGUCACUUGUAGAUGGAUCCGCGCCGCAUUAGCUAGUUGGUAAGGUAACGGCUUACCAAGGCAACGAUGCGUAGCCGACCUGAGAGGGUGAUCGGCCACACUGGAACUGAGACACGGUCCAGACUCCUACGGGAGGCAGCAGUAGGGAAUCUUCCGCAAUGGGCGAAAGCCUGACGGAGCAACGCCGCGUGAGUGAUGAAGGUCUUCGGAUCGUAAAACUCUGUUAUUAGGGAAGAACAAAUGUGUAAGUAACUAUGCACGUCUUGACGGUACCUAAUCAGAAAGCCACGGCUAACUACGUG
This 497-nucleotide ribosomal RNA is filed under the name uncultured bacterium. RNAcentral's name for it is "partial 16S ribosomal RNA". It matches the Rfam family "Bacterial small subunit ribosomal RNA", at positions 28 to 507 of the family's 1533-position model. The record is from RNAcentral.